RNAcentral lists this ribosomal RNA (299 nucleotides) under uncultured bacterium. Its description in RNAcentral is "partial 16S ribosomal RNA". It matches the Rfam family "Bacterial small subunit ribosomal RNA", at positions 475 to 776 of the family's 1533-position model. The record is from RNAcentral.
CUAUGCGCCUUGCCAGCCCGCUCAGGUGUGCCAGCAGCCGCGGUAAUACGUAGGGGGCAAGCGUUAUCCGGAUUUACUGGGUGUAAAGGGAGCGUAGACGGCAGCGCAAGUCUGGAGUGAAAUCCCAUAGCUUAACCAUGGAACUGCUUUGGAAACUGUGCAGCUGGAGUGCAGGAGAGGUAAGCGGAAUUCCUAGUGUAGCGGUGAAAUGCGUAGAUAUUAGGAGGAACACCAGUGGCGAAGGCGGCUUACUGGACUGUAACUGACGUUGAGGCUCGAAAGCGUGGGGAGCAAACAGG